GGCGCCAGGUACGAUAAACAUGCAGUCGAGCGGGGAGAUGUACCUUGCUACUUUACCUAGCGGCGGACGGGUGAGUAAUGCUUAGGAAUCUGCCUAUUAGUGGGGGACAACAUUCCGAAAGGUAUGCUAAUACCGCAUACGCCCUACGGAGGACAGCAGGGCAUCUUCGGACCUUGCGCUAAUAGAUGAGCCUAAGUCAUAUUAGCUAGUUGGUGGGGUAAAGGCCUACCACGGCGACCAUCUGUAGCGGGUCUGAGAGGAUGAUCCGCCACACUGGGACUGAGACACGGCCCAGACUCCUACGGGAGGCAGCGGUGGGGAAUAUUGGACCAUGGGCGCAAGCCUGAUCCAGCCAUGCCGCGUGUAUGAAGAAGGCCUUUUGGUUGUAAAGCACUUUAAGCGAGGAGGAGGCUACUUGGAUUAAUACUCUAGGAUAGUGGACGUUACUCGCAGAAUAAGCCCCUGCUAACUCUGUGCCAGCAGCCGCGGUCAUGCAGAGGGUACGAGCGUUAAUCGGAUUUACUGGGCGUAAAGCGUGCGUAGGCGGCUUUUUAAGUCGGAUGUGAAAUCCCUGAGCUUAACUUAGGAAUUGCAUUCGAUACUGGGAAGCUAGAGUAUGGGAGAGGAUGGUAGAAUUCCAGCUGUAGCCCUAAAAUGCGUAGAGAUCUGGAGGAAUACCGAUGGCGAAGGCAGCCAUCUGGCCUAAUACUGACGCUGAUGUACGAAAGCAUGGGGAGCAAACAGGAUUAGAUACCCUGGUAGUCCAUGCUGUAAACGAUGUCUACUAGCCGUUGGGGCCUUUGAGGCUUUAGUGGCGCAGCUAACGCGAUAAGUAGACCGCCUGGGGAGUACGGUCGCAAGACUAAAACUCAAAUGAAUUGACGGGGGCCCGCACAAGCGGUGGAGCAUGUGGUUUAAUUCGAUUCAACGCGAAGAACCUUACCUGGUCUUGACAUAGUAAGAACUUUCCAGAGAUGGAUUGGUGCCUUCGGGAACUUACAUACAGGUGCUGCAUGGCUGUCGUCAGCUCGUGUCGUGAGAUGUUGGGUUAAGUCCCGCAACGAGCGCAACCCUUUUCCUUAUUUGCCAGCGGGUUAAGCCGGGAACUUUAAGGAUACUGCCAGUGACAAACUGGAGGAAGGCGGGGACGACGUCAAGUCAUCAUGGCCCUUACGACCAGGGCUACACACGUGCUACAAUGGUCGGUACAAAGGGUUGCUACCUAGCGAUAGGAUGCUAAUCUCAAAAA
RNAcentral lists this ribosomal RNA (1249 nucleotides) under Acinetobacter johnsonii. RNAcentral's name for it is "bacterial SSU rRNA". It matches the Rfam family "Bacterial small subunit ribosomal RNA", at positions 38 to 1280 of the family's 1533-position model. The record is from RNAcentral. Lineage: Bacteria; Pseudomonadati; Pseudomonadota; Gammaproteobacteria; Moraxellales; Moraxellaceae.